CGGGUACGGGGGCGUUACAUUUUGUGGUAUCAGAGCAGGUUUAGUCAGUUUUUAGACUAACGUGUUGUAUGUACGGGUUUUGCUAUACAUGCCAUAUAUAAAUAUUGUGAUAGUGUGACAACUUCUGAACUUUUAAAUGAUUUUUUUAUAGUAAAUGGAUCCCGAUCCAGUUGUGGCUAAUGAUGUAGAGAGUAAUGCACCAGCUCUGGCUGAAACGGCAGUGCCAACUGAAAAUCC
RNAcentral lists this long non-coding RNA (237 nucleotides) under Gossypium barbadense (sea-island cotton). RNAcentral describes it as "long non-coding RNA (GBAR_LNC003187)". Lineage: Eukaryota; Viridiplantae; Streptophyta; Magnoliopsida; Malvales; Malvaceae. The record is from RNAcentral.